UGGUGGGUAGUUUGACUGGGGCGGUCUCCUCCCAAAGCGUAACGGAGGAGCACGAAGGUUAGCUAAUCCUGGUCGGACAUCAGGAGGUUAGUGCAAUGGCAUAAGCUAGCUUGACUGCGAGCGUGACGGCGCGAGCAGGUGCGAAAGCAGGUCAUAGUGAUCCGGUGGUUCUGAAUGGAAGGGCCAUCGCUCAACGGAUAAAAGGUACUCCGGGGAUAACAGGCUGAUACCGCCCAAGAGUUCAUAUCGACGGCGGUGUUUGGCACCUCGAUGUCGGCUCAUCACAUCCUGGGGCUGAAGUAGGUCCCAAGGGUAUGGCUGUUCGCCAUUUAAAGUGGUACGCGAGCUGGGUUUAGAACGUCGUGAGACAGUUCGGUCCCUAUCUGCCGUGGGCGCUGGAGAAUUGAGGGGGGCUGCUCCUAGUACGAGAGGACCGGA
RNAcentral lists this ribosomal RNA (438 nucleotides) under Klebsiella pneumoniae. RNAcentral describes it as "partial 23S ribosomal RNA". It matches the Rfam family "Bacterial large subunit ribosomal RNA", at positions 2259 to 2696 of the family's 2925-position model. Lineage: Bacteria; Pseudomonadati; Pseudomonadota; Gammaproteobacteria; Enterobacterales; Enterobacteriaceae. The record is from RNAcentral.